GUGCCAGCCGCCGCGGUAAUACCGGCAGCCCGAGUGAUGGCCGAUCUUAUUGGGCCUAAAGCGUCCGUAGCCGGCCGAGCAAGUCCAUCGGGAAAUCCGCCAGCCCGACUGGCGGGCGUCCGGUGGAAACUGCACGGCUCGGGACCGGAAGACCCGAAGGGUACGUCUUGGGUAGGAGUGAAAUCCCGUAAUCCUGGACGGACCACCGAUGGCGAAAGCACUUCGGGAAGACGGAUCCGACGGUGAGGGACGAGAGCCAGGGUCUCGAACCGGAUUAGUAACCCCGGUAGUCC
Molecule: ribosomal RNA, 293 nt
Filed under: uncultured bacterium
Lineage: Bacteria
Description: partial 16S ribosomal RNA
Rfam family: Archaeal small subunit ribosomal RNA
Source: RNAcentral